GAUGAACGCUAGCGGCAGGCCUAACACAUGCAAGUCGAGGGGUAGCAGGAUUAAGCUUGCUUAAUUGCUGACGACCGGCGCACGGGUGCGUAACGCGUAUGCAACCUACCUUAUACUGGGGCAUAGCCCGGAGAAAUUCGGAUUAAUCCCCCAUAGUACUAAUGAAUCGCAUGGUUUAUUAGUUAAAGCAUUGCGGUAUAAGAUGGGCAUGCGUGCUAUUAGCUAGAUGGUGAGGUAACGGCUCACCAUGGCUACGAUAGGUAGGGGGCCUGAGAGGAUGGUCACCCACACUGGUACUGGGACACGGGCCAGACUCCUACGGGAGGCAGCAGUGAUGAAGAUUGGUGAAUGGGCGCAAGCCUGAACCAGCCAUGCCGCGUGCAGGAAGAAUGCCCUAUGGGUUGUAAACUGCUUUUAUUUGGGAAUAAACCUCUUUACGUGUAGAGAGCUGAAGGUACCAAAUGAAUAAGCACCGGCUAACUCCGUGCCAGCCGCCGCCGUAA
Molecule: ribosomal RNA, 503 nt
Filed under: uncultured bacterium
Lineage: Bacteria
Description: partial 16S ribosomal RNA
Rfam family: Bacterial small subunit ribosomal RNA
Source: RNAcentral